GGGCGGCUGGUCCAGUGGUAGGAUGUUGCAAGCCCUUGUUGUCACUGCCUCACCCGUGAAGUAGUUCUUGACUUGCAGAGGUCAAGGUUCGAAUCCUUGGUUGUCCA
RNAcentral lists this transfer RNA (107 nucleotides) under Fusarium pseudograminearum. Its description in RNAcentral is "tRNA-OTHER". It matches the Rfam family "tRNA". Rfam says of the family: Transfer RNA (tRNA) molecules are approximately 80 nucleotides in length. Their secondary structure includes four short double-helical elements and three loops (D, anti-codon, and T loops). Further hydrogen bonds mediate the characteristic L-shaped molecular structure. tRNAs have two regions of fundamental functional importance: the anti-codon, which is responsible for specific mRNA codon recognition, and the 3' end, to which the tRNAs corresponding amino acid is attached (by aminoacyl-tRNA synthetases). tRNAs cope with the degeneracy of the genetic code in two manners: having more than one tRNA (with a specific anti-codon) for a particular amino acid; and 'wobble' base-pairing, i.e. permitting non-standard base-pairing at the 3rd anti-codon position. The record is from RNAcentral. Lineage: Eukaryota; Fungi; Ascomycota; Sordariomycetes; Hypocreales; Nectriaceae.